RNAcentral lists this unclassified non-coding RNA (250 nucleotides) under plant metagenome. RNAcentral describes it as "partial contains small subunit ribosomal RNA, internal transcribed spacer 1, and 5.8S ribosomal RNA". The record is from RNAcentral.
GUAGGUGAACCUGCGGAAGGAUCAUUAUCACGUAUCCACGUUAUCAACCAUGUCGAACCGUACCUACCUUCGGGGGGAGUGGGAGAGUUUUGUAAUGCAAGCGUGUAGGCUCUUUGUUUUCUAUCUGCUUCAACUUCGCUUGAAACUAACUAGAAAACGGGGUGGUUUUAAGCCUGUUUGCAUUGCCUCGGUCCUUUUUUGGACCGUACCCAUUCCUUUCGUCUGUAACUGAAAUCACCUUUGAUUAACC